GGGGGGUUGUGAAAAGGGUUUUGCAAAAGUUAAAGAAGUCAAUAAAGACACAGAUGCAAACAAACUAAUUUAAGCUAGCAUGGUAAUUAAACUAACACUAUUAAAAACCUUAGACAACAUUCAAACAAAAUAAAAUAAAAUACUAGACCCCAACAAGACAACAAACAACUACCCAACACAGUUAAAUUAAAUUAAAUGCAAAACUAAAUUAGAGAAAUCAUAAGCAACUAAUCCUAAUAUGCAAAUUAAUUUAAAACAAAAAAGCAAACACAAAUUUUUCCUAGCAAUUCAUGUGACCAAGUGUGCACCAAAUAAAGAAAUUGAAAAUGAAAAUGGCCUAAGAAGACCCCUUUUACGUAAGCCACUCCACCACAUUCUAAAUUGACUUUCUUCCUUCAAUAAACCAUGCAUAUGUUGCCUUCUUUUGUUCCAUGUGCUUCAUUCUCCAAGAAAAUGCUUCCUUCUACCUUUCUACCAUACAAAAAUGUGCUUCUCUCUCUCCAUCAAUGCAAAUUGCCAAACCCACACUCCU
RNAcentral lists this long non-coding RNA (532 nucleotides) under Vigna radiata. RNAcentral describes it as "long non-coding RNA (VRAD_LNC002635)". The record is from RNAcentral. Lineage: Eukaryota; Viridiplantae; Streptophyta; Magnoliopsida; Fabales; Fabaceae.